Cyprinus carpio (common carp) is the source of this 976-nucleotide long non-coding RNA. The record is from Ensembl. NCBI's taxonomy places the organism in Eukaryota, Metazoa, Chordata, Actinopteri, Cypriniformes, Cyprinidae.
UGGUUUGUGAGGGAUUGUGGUCUGUGUGUGUUUGAGAGUGCAUGGCAUGCAGCCAGCAGGAGGAGUGUGGUGCCUGCGUGUGUCUUUGUUUGUUUUCUCCCCCUCCUUUUCAAGUGCAGUGAAGGGGCGGAGCCACGUGUCCGGCGGCCAACAACAAAGCUAGCUUCGAGAGGUCUGCCAAAAUUUGCCCCCUGCACUUGUUCAAAGGGACCAAAGUACAGUGCCAAAUUUCGAAUAAUCAAGGAGCACAGCAGAGAGUUGGACGGCCUGCUUGAUUUUCUGGCAAAGUACUGCAUCCUCAGUCAGGACAAGCUGUCCAUGUACAAAAGAGCUUUUGAGGCCGUGAGUAAAAGAAAAUUUCACAAUUUCCACAUCAAAAAGAACGGUUUUGUUUAUUUUCAUAUGCUAGUAAUGACAGUAAUCACUUAACUGUCACUUACUUUGACUGUAAUACUCCGUGCCUGCAGGCUGAUAGUGAUGGAGAUGGUUAUCUGAGCUGUCUCCAAGUUUUGCUGGCACUGAAAGAGAUCAUUCCCCCAGAACUUCUGACUGAAGAAGAGGAAAUAUAUGUGUACAGGGUAAACGCCCUCUUCAAAAAAAUAUAUAUACGAUCUGCCCGUCUCUCUUUUUUAUCACAAUGUCUAGAGGCAAUUCACUAAGAAUGAUUUGUGCUGGCUGAUAGCGACAUUUUAUUUGCAUGCACUGUCUGUGUUGUUUUAGCACCCGUUUCACUAAAGGAAUCAUGCAAAUUAGGUAACUGCGCAAACACAACCAUAAAAUCUGUGUCAAACACAAUUUGCCCAGCGGAAUUGCAGGGCAGAGUAAAACAGUGAAAAUACACAGGUCUGCACCAUAUAUCCGCAUACAAACCUGGUUUUAGGAUGUUUCUGCAUCAUUUGAUCAUUUUUAUUUAAUGAAUUAUUACUGAUCAACAGAAAAUCAACAGAAACAUUGCUUUUAAAUUAAAUUCAGUUAU